UACUGACAGCUUCACCCUGAGAGCUCCACCACCAAACCCCCUGCAAACGUGGUGGCCCAGCUAUAGGAGAAAAGGCCAUGAGGAAGACUGUGAGGCACGAAAGGACCCAGUGUGAUACACAAAGAGCAGGCUUAAAUCCAAACACCCUCAGGAGAACACUUCCACUGGCAUUUAACUUGAAACACUCACUUGAGAUACUGCAUGUUGGUUGCAAGGAUUGAGACUCCUACAUUUGCAAGAGGAGGAGUCAGUGAGAUAGCCAGCGAUGCAACAGUGGAGAGGGCUUUCUUUAAGAAAGUAUGCUAUGAAAUUACAUGUGGAAUACAAGAAAAGACUGAUGAGUCUGGGCUUGUUCAGUCUGAGGCUGAGAAGAGAUUUGAGAGCAGCCCACAGCUACUUCAAAGGGGACUUACGCUUCAUGGUGUGAGUGGAUUAAAACAACAGACCACAGAGAGAUCAAACUCAGGGAAGUGACAACUUUCACUUCUCAGAAAGAAAUAACCAGAGACAUUCACAUCUGGCUGCAAUGAAACCCUGAGGCAAACAUCCAGGAGUAUAUACGGUGAACAUAAGAACAGGCGCUGGAAAUACUUUAGGAAUAAGGCUAAGACAAAGAAAUCAGGAGGGCCCUUGCUUACAGGAGGAAAAGAGGGAAAAUAAAGGUUGGCAUGAAAGAGGAUGCAGCUGAGGAGGAACAACCCCAGACAUUACCACAUGCUGUGGGCCACCCAGCUAGAAAGCAGCUUUGCAGAAGAGGAACUGGGGGUGCUGGUGGACAGUAAGUCAAACAUACCCGGUCCUAUGCUGCUUCUGCUAAGAAGGCCAAUGGCAUCCUGGGCUGUAUUACACAAAGCAGGACAAAACGAGGUCAUACUUCCCUCUGCUCAGCACUGGUGAGGCUGUACCUGGAGUCAGGAGUCCAGUUCUGGCUCCUCAGUGCAAGAAAGACCUGGACAUACUGGAGAGAGUCCACCAAGGGGCACAAAAAUGAUUAAGGGAGUCCCUCUCCUAUAAGAAAAGACAGAGAGAGCUGGGGCCUCUCAGCCCGGAGAAGAGGAGGCUCUGGGAGGUCCCAUCCAUGUCCAUAAACACCUAAAGGGAGAGCGCAGAAGACAGAGCCAGGCUCUGCUCUGCUCAGUGGUGCCCACAACCAGCAAAGAGGCAAUAGGCAAAAACUGGAACACAGGAGGAUCCUGAGGACCUCCAGAGAUCCUUUCCAAACUAAACCAUUCUGUCAUUCAAGGCUUUUUUAUUUUUUGAGGUGCCCAGUAUUGAAAAGUAUCUAUUUCACCUAAAACAUGGAACUAAAUACAUAGUGAGCAGUUAAAGGUCACAUAAACAAACUGCAAUUCUAUCUGUCGAUCUGAUGGCUUUCACUCUUUGUACCUAUGCAAGUUGCUCAUCUCCAAGCCACUAGCAGGUACUUUUAGGCCCCUAAGUAAGAGGCUGGGGUCUCACAAGUAGGGAACUGGGAAAGGAAGAGUGCUUGGGAACUACAGAGCAGUCAGUCCAACUCUGAUUCCAGGUUGUCUGAUUCCAGGACAAGUACUAAAAAAGCCUUUUAAGGGCCUCAUCAAUGUGAUAAAAAAGGAUCUGUAAGCAGUGAAACAGAUGAAUGUUGUUCUCCUGCAUACUUUCCACGAGCUCAGGACAGAGCGCCUGUGACUUCAGCAUGUUCCUAUCAGCUGUCCUUUCAUUUGCAGGCUGGGUGACAGCCAGCACAGUGCUGCUAGUGCACUGCUAAGCAUGUGCUAACUGGCCAGCA
This is a long non-coding RNA of Gallus gallus (chicken), 1765 nucleotides long. RefSeq lists it as uncharacterized. The transcript has 3 exons. NCBI's taxonomy places the organism in Eukaryota, Metazoa, Chordata, Aves, Galliformes, Phasianidae. The record is from RefSeq and is a predicted model, not a curated record.